UACGUAGGGACCAAGCGUUGUCCGGAUUUAUUGGGCGUAAAGAGCGUGUAGGCGGCUGGGUAGGUCCGUUGUGAAAACUCGAGGCUCAACCUCGAGACGCCGAUGGAAACCCCCCAGCUAGAGUCCGGAAGAGGAGAGUGGAAUUCCUGGUGUAGCGGUGAAAUGCGCAGAUAUCAGGAAGAACACCCGUGGCUAAGGCGGCUCUCUAGUACGGUACUGACGCUGAGACGCGAAAGCGUGGGGAGCGAACAGG
RNAcentral lists this ribosomal RNA (253 nucleotides) under uncultured bacterium. RNAcentral describes it as "partial 16S ribosomal RNA". It matches the Rfam family "Bacterial small subunit ribosomal RNA", at positions 524 to 776 of the family's 1533-position model. The record is from RNAcentral.